UACGUAGGGGGCAAGCGUUGUCCGGAAUCAUUGGGCGUAAAGCGCGUGUAGGCGGCUCGGUAAGUCUGCUGUGAAAGUCCAGGGCUCAACCCUGGAAUGCCGGUGGAAACUGUCGAGCUAGAGUCCGGAAGAGGCGAGUGGAAUUCCUGGUGUAGCGGUGAAAUGCGCAGAUAUCAGGAGGAACACCAAUGGCGAAGGCAGCUCGCUGGGACGGUACUGACACUGAGACGCGAAAGCGUGGGGAGCAAACAGG
RNAcentral lists this ribosomal RNA (253 nucleotides) under uncultured bacterium. RNAcentral describes it as "partial 16S ribosomal RNA". It matches the Rfam family "Bacterial small subunit ribosomal RNA", at positions 524 to 776 of the family's 1533-position model. The record is from RNAcentral.